This 494-nucleotide ribosomal RNA is filed under the name uncultured Streptococcus sp. RNAcentral's name for it is "bacterial SSU rRNA". It matches the Rfam family "Bacterial small subunit ribosomal RNA", at positions 28 to 504 of the family's 1533-position model. Lineage: Bacteria; Bacillati; Bacillota; Bacilli; Lactobacillales; Streptococcaceae. The record is from RNAcentral.
GACGAACGCUGGCGGCGUGCCUAAUACAUGCAAGUAGAACGCUGAGAACUGGUGCUUGCACCGGUUCAAGGAGUUGCGAACGGGUGAGUAACGCGUAGGUAACCUACCUCAUAGCGGGGGAUAACUAUUGGAAACGAUAGCUAAUACCGCAUAAAAGAGACUAACGCAUGUUAGUAAUUUAAAAGGGGCAAUUGCUCCACUAUGAGAUGGACCUGCGUUGUAUUAGCUAGUUGGUGAGGUAAAGGCUCACCAAGGCGACGAUACAUAGCCGACCUGAGAGGGUGAUCGGCCACACUGGGACUGAGACACGGCCCAGACUCCUACGGGAGGCAGCAGUAGGGAAUCUUCGGCAAUGGGGGCAACCCUGACCGAGCAACGCCGCGUGAGUGAAGAAGGUUUUCGGAUCGUAAAGCUCUGUUGUUAGAGAAGAAUGAUGGUGGGAGUGGAAAAUCCACCAAGUGACGGUAACUAACCAGAAAGGGACGGCUAACUAC